GAUGAACGCUGGCUACAGGCUUAACACAUGCAAGUCGAGGGGCAGCAUUACGGUAGCUUGCUACUGUAGAUGGCGACCGGCGCACGGGUGAGUAACGCGUAUCCAACCUGCCCACCACUUGGGGAUAACCUUGCGAAAGUAAGACUAAUACCCAAUGAUAUCCCACGAAGGCAUCCGAAUGGGAUUAAAGAUUUAUCGGUGAUGGAUGGGGAUGCGUCUGAUUAGCUUGUUGGCGGGGUAACGGCCCACCAAGGCAACGAUCAGUAGGGGUUCUGAGAGGAAGGUCCCCCACAUUGGAACUGAGACACGGUCCAAACUCCUACGGGAGGCAGCAGUGAGGAAUAUUGGUCAAUGGGCGAGAGCCUGAACCAGCCAAGUAGCGUGCAGGACGACGGCCCUAUGGGUUGUAAACUGCUUUUAUAAGGGAAUAAAGUGGGUCACGUGUGACUUUUUGCAUGUACCUUAUGAAUAAGGACCGGCUAAUUCCGUG
RNAcentral lists this ribosomal RNA (490 nucleotides) under uncultured bacterium. RNAcentral's name for it is "bacterial SSU rRNA". It matches the Rfam family "Bacterial small subunit ribosomal RNA", at positions 28 to 507 of the family's 1533-position model. The record is from RNAcentral.